Molecule: ribosomal RNA, 526 nt
Filed under: Alternaria alternata
Lineage: Eukaryota; Fungi; Ascomycota; Dothideomycetes; Pleosporales; Pleosporaceae
Description: eukaryotic LSU rRNA
Rfam family: 5.8S ribosomal RNA (bases 195-348)
Source: RNAcentral
CCGUAGGGGGUACUGCGGAGGGAUCAUUACACAAAUAUGAAGGCGGGCUGGAACCUCUCGGGGUUACAGCCUUGCUGAAUUAUUCACCCUUGUCUUUUGCGUACUUCUUGUUUCCUUGGUGGGUUCGCCCACCACUAGGACAAACAUAAACCUUUUGUAAUUGCAAUCAGCGUCAGUAACAAAUUAAUAAUUACAACUUUCAACAACGGAUCUCUUGGUUCUGGCAUCGAUGAAGAACGCAGCGAAAUGCGAUAAGUAGUGUGAAUUGCAGAAUUCAGUGAAUCAUCGAAUCUUUGAACGCACAUUGCGCCCUUUGGUAUUCCAAAGGGCAUGCCUGUUCGAGCGUCAUUUGUACCCUCAAGCUUUGCUUGGUGUUGGGCGUCUUGUCUCUAGCUUUGCUGGAGACUCGCCUUAAAGUAAUUGGCAGCCGGCCUACUGGUUUCGGAGCGCAGCACAAGUCGCACUCUCUAUCAGCAAAGGUCUAGCAUCCAUUAAGCCUUUUUUUCAACUUUGACCUCGGAUCAGG